This 420-nucleotide ribosomal RNA is filed under the name bacterium. Its description in RNAcentral is "partial 16S ribosomal RNA". It matches the Rfam family "Bacterial small subunit ribosomal RNA", at positions 355 to 776 of the family's 1533-position model. The record is from RNAcentral.
UGGGGGAUAUUGCACAAUGGGCGAAAGCCUGAUGCAGCGACGCCGCGUGGGGGAUGAAGGCUUUCGGGUUGUAAACCUCUUUCGCUAUCGAACAAGGCCCGCUUAGGGUGGGUUGAGGGUAGGUGGAGAAGAAGCGCCGGCUAACUACGUGCCAGCAGCCGCGGUAAUACGUAGGGCGCGAGCGUUGUCCGGAUUUAUUGGGCGUAAAGGGCUUGUAGGCGGCUUGUUGCGCCUGCUGUGAAAACGCGGGGCUUAACUUCGCGCGUGCAGUGGGUACGGGCAGGCUUGAGUGUGGUAGGGGUGACUGGAAUUCCAGGUGUAGCGGUGGAAUGCGCAGAUAUCUGGAGGAGCACCGAUGGCGAAGGCAGGUCACUGGGCCAUUACUGACGCUGAGGAGCGAAAGCAUGGGUAGCGAACAGG